GAUAUUUUUAUAAGUGGGGCGAGUUGUCAGACCUUUAUUCAGUGGGGUUUAAACCCUUUUCGUUAAUAAGUGAGAUGUCAGUGAUUGUUUAGUUUGAUUUUACACUUCUUCAAAAGUUGGGCGCGUCGGUAAACAAGAGUGGGUCGAUUGUUUUCAUAAAGUGGCGAUAUAGGUUGGGCCGAUUGGCCAGUUGGGCGAGUUGACAUUAUUUGAUAUCUACUCAUCGUGUUCGGGGGUCAAAAAGGGUAUAAAUCAUAUAGUAAUGUAUAAAGUAUAUUAAAAUGGUUGUGUGGCGUUCUUAA
Molecule: long non-coding RNA, 302 nt
Filed under: Mytilus galloprovincialis (Mediterranean mussel)
Lineage: Eukaryota; Metazoa; Mollusca; Bivalvia; Mytilida; Mytilidae
Source: RNAcentral